AAAUCCAGUCUUGUGAAGUCAGUACUGCUGCCAUGGGGCCCUCCCCAAGCCUGGCAGAAGUCCAGGGUUGCCUGAGGCCUGUGUUCCUGCUGGGGUAGCUCUCCUCUGAAGCUGCUGCUUCUCAAAACCAUUAAAAGUAAACCCCUUUCUAAGAGGCAUCUCUUAAGGUUUGUGAGAUUUGGAAUAAUAUAUAAAAGUGUCUCCUAUCCAGUUACAAUAAGGAACUCGAUUCUUAGGUUAAGAGCUGGUUAUUUGGCGUACUGAUUUUAGUGUUUUCAAACCCUACUCAAAUUUUAGCAUUUAAGAUGCCGAACUAGGAUUAUCUAGCUCUUAAGAUUUUGUGGAGUUUUCUUGUUUUCUUAAAGAGACAAAAGCUGCCUUCACAUUUGAAGGACUUUGAUGACCAUCUUUCUAAGACAUUAAAUAAACCAACUAAUUUUCACUGAUCUCUCUGGAACAAGCUAAUUAUUAUUUAAUCUAUAAGUGGGUCCUUAUCUAUUUCUAAACUGUCAGGGUGGCCUUUUUUUUCCCCCCAAUUCACAGUGGUUUAAAAUGUACAAACUGCACUUAGAGAAUCUGGGCAUUCUCUGAGCCAUUUCAGCCCCAAUCACUCACUAUGUGCCUUUGUUAGCAACCAGGUGUACCAACCCAGUGCUCCAGUCACGGGGCAAAAUCUUCUUGUUUUUUAACUUUUUGACCAAAUUAUAUUUGAAAACUCUCAGGUAGAGUGUGAAUUUGAAGAAGACUCAGGUUUUCAGUGUCACAAAAGGGUUCUGAAGAAAAUUACCACAAGACUAUUGAAAGUUAAAGAGCUCAAGGAAGGUAGGUCUUGGAAGUAAUCUGCAAAUGCAGAAAUGGCUUUUAGCCAUAAAAUAAAACAAAUGCAGGAAAGACUUGUGUUGUCCUACCAGUAGCAGUUUGUCAGAGGUAGACAGAGCAGAUGUUUGAAACGCUAGGCAGUGUUUCCAAACGGUAGGACAUGACCUAUUAGUGAAUUGCGAAACAUACUUAGUGGGUUGCCAACAUAAUUUUCUUUAAAGGCAUGGAAUAGAAAGCACAUGCAUGAGUCACUAGAAGUACAAUAAGAGUUGUUUGG
This 1096-nucleotide long non-coding RNA is filed under the name Callithrix jacchus (white-tufted-ear marmoset). Its description in RNAcentral is "lncRNA (ENSCJAG00000082779.1)". Lineage: Eukaryota; Metazoa; Chordata; Mammalia; Primates; Cebidae. The record is from RNAcentral.